GUGGGGAAUUUUGGACAAUGGGCGAAAGCCUGAUCCAGCCAUGCCGCGUGAACGAUGAAGGCCUUCGGGUUGUAAAGUUCUUUAGCCGAUGAUUAUAAUGACUGUAGUCGGAAAAUAAGCCCCGGCUAACUUCGUGCCAGCAGCCGCGGUAAUACGAAGGGGGCGAGCGUUAUUCGGAAUCACUGGGCGUAAAGCGUGCGUAGGCGGUUUUGUAAGUUAGGAGUGAAAGCCCAGGGCUCAACCUUGGAAUUGCUCUUAAAACUGCAAGGCUCGAAUCUCGGAGAGGAUAGCGGAAUUUCCAGUGUAGCAGUGAAAUGCGUAGAUAUUGGAAGGAACACCAGUGGCGUAAGCGGCUAUCUGGACGAGUAUUGACGCUGAGGCACGAAAGCGUGGGGAUCAAACAGGAUUAGAAACCCCUGUAGUCC
RNAcentral lists this ribosomal RNA (425 nucleotides) under uncultured bacterium. RNAcentral describes it as "bacterial SSU rRNA". It matches the Rfam family "Bacterial small subunit ribosomal RNA", at positions 354 to 796 of the family's 1533-position model. The record is from RNAcentral.